RNAcentral lists this ribosomal RNA (253 nucleotides) under uncultured bacterium. RNAcentral describes it as "partial 16S ribosomal RNA". It matches the Rfam family "Bacterial small subunit ribosomal RNA", at positions 524 to 776 of the family's 1533-position model. The record is from RNAcentral.
UACAGAGGUCCCGAGCGUUGUUCGGAUUUACUGGGCGUAAAGCGCGUUAAGGCGGUCGGCAAAGUUGGUUGUGAAAUCUCAGGGCUCAACCCUGAAAUUGCGACCAAUACUGGUCGACUAGAGUGUGAGAGAGGAAGGUGGAAUUCCCGGUGUAGUAGUGAAAUGCGUAGAUAUCGGGAGGAACACCAGUGGCGAAGGCGGCCUUCUGGCUCAUAACUGACGCUGUAGCGCGAAAGCGUGGGGAGCGAACCGG